UCAACCAAUGGGCUUGGAGCAUUGAGGCCAUUGCCCUAUUCUGUGUUCUAGUGCGGUUCUGGUUAUCCCUCCUCUGGCUUAGUACAGAGCAGGCAUGUUGGAUUUGGGGCUUUUGUUUGGUUUUGUUUGGAGACAGAGUCUCACUCCUGUCACCCAGACUGGAGUGCAGUGGUGUGGUGCAAUCCCUGGCUCAAUGCAACUCUGCCUCCCGGGUUCAAGCGAUUUCUCUUGCGUUAGCCUCCUGAGUAGCUGGAUUACAGGCCACCUGCCACCACGCCCAGCUAAUCUUUGUAGUUUAGUAGAGACGCAGUUUCACCAUGUUGGACAGACUGGUCUUGAACUCCUGAUCUCAAGUGAUCCACCCACCUCAGCCUCCCAAAGUGCUGGGAUUACAUGCGUGAGCCACUGUGCAUGGUCUCUUGCUGUUUUUAUACUUUCUCUAUAUCCGUAUAGAGAUGUUUCCCAUGUAAGUUUUUGUUUCUUUGAAUUUCUCAUUUUUAUUACCCCUGCAUCAUCUGCUACCCUGAAGGAUCUGGAGGUAAGAGGCCCUGGGCCAGGGUGCAGUGACCCUGAAGGCCAGCCCUCCAACCUCCUCUCACAGCGGGAGCUGGGUGCCCCUCUGCCAACUGAGACAGUCCACACACACCCCAGCCCUAAUGAUUGUUCUCUCUACCUCUCCCCGCAAACCUCCUCCAACUCCACCUCUCUGCAUGCGCCUCAGAGCCGGUACCAAGAACUGGAAGUAGCCCUGGACUCAAGCUCCGCAACAAUCAAUCAACUCAAUGAAAACGUAGAAUCAUUGAAACAACAGAAGAAACAAGUGGAACAUCAGCUGGAAGAAGUAACUUUUUUGUUGUUGUUGUUCACGAUAUAAAUGCUGGGUUUGGGGGGAAUUCAUGACUGCUGCGUUUGGGAGGCACUCAAAUGUAGAGGUGCCAGUCUCAUGUCGCCCACUCCCAGCCUGGGGAAGAAGGCUCACCCCUCAGAUUCUACCCCAUCCUUCCAGGUUAUCCCCCGGUAACCU
RNAcentral lists this long non-coding RNA (1024 nucleotides) under Macaca nemestrina (pig-tailed macaque). Its description in RNAcentral is "lncRNA (ENSMNEG00000045698.1)". The record is from RNAcentral. Lineage: Eukaryota; Metazoa; Chordata; Mammalia; Primates; Cercopithecidae.